This 256-nucleotide ribosomal RNA is filed under the name uncultured bacterium. RNAcentral's name for it is "partial 16S ribosomal RNA". It matches the Rfam family "Bacterial small subunit ribosomal RNA", at positions 524 to 776 of the family's 1533-position model. The record is from RNAcentral.
UACGUAGGGUGCGAGCGUUGUCCGGAAUUACUGGGCGUAAAGGGCGCGUAGGCGGUUUGUUGGGUGUGAUGGUGAAAGCCCUGGGCUUAACCUGGGAAGUGCAUCGCAAACUAAUUAACUGGAGUAGAUGAGAGGGUGGCGGAAUUUCCGGUGUAGCGGUGAAAUGCGUAGAGAUCGGAAGGAACGUCAAUGGCGAAGGCAGCCACCUGGGCAUCAUACUGACGCUGAGGCGCGAAAGGCGUGGGGAGCGAACAGG